GCCUGGGUGGCUCAGUCGGUUGAGCGCCUGACUUCAACUCAGGUCAUGAUCUCGCGGUUUGUGAGUUCGAGCCCCGCGUGGGGCU
RNAcentral lists this transfer RNA (85 nucleotides) under Felis catus (domestic cat). It matches the Rfam family "tRNA". From Rfam's summary of the family: Transfer RNA (tRNA) molecules are approximately 80 nucleotides in length. Their secondary structure includes four short double-helical elements and three loops (D, anti-codon, and T loops). The record is from Rfam by way of RNAcentral. Lineage: Eukaryota; Metazoa; Chordata; Mammalia; Carnivora; Felidae.